RNAcentral lists this ribosomal RNA (275 nucleotides) under uncultured Brachybacterium sp. Its description in RNAcentral is "partial 16S ribosomal RNA". It matches the Rfam family "Bacterial small subunit ribosomal RNA", at positions 338 to 625 of the family's 1533-position model. Lineage: Bacteria; Bacillati; Actinomycetota; Actinomycetes; Micrococcales; Dermabacteraceae. The record is from RNAcentral.
CCUACGGGGGGCUGCAGUGGGGAAUAUUGCACAAUGGGCGAAAGCCUGAUGCAGCGACGCCGCGUGGGGGAUGACGGCCUUCGGGUUGUAAACCCCUUUCAGUAGGGAAGAAGCGAAAGUGACGGUACCUGCAGAAGAAGCGCCGGCUAACUACGUGCCAGCAGCCGCGGUAAUACGUAGGGCGCAAGCGUUGUCCGGAAUUAUUGGGCGUAAAGAGCUUGUAGGUGGCUUGUCGCGUCUGCCGUGAAAACCCGAGGCUCAACUUCGGGCGUGCG